RNAcentral lists this ribosomal RNA (490 nucleotides) under uncultured bacterium. RNAcentral's name for it is "bacterial SSU rRNA". It matches the Rfam family "Bacterial small subunit ribosomal RNA", at positions 73 to 579 of the family's 1533-position model. The record is from RNAcentral.
ACCGCCCUCGGGCGGACAUACAGUGGCGAACGGGUGAGUAACACGUGACCAACCUGCCCCGCGCUCCGGGACAACCGCUGGAAACGGCGGCUAAUACCGGAUACUCCGCGGCCCCCGCAUGGGGGCGGCGGGAAAGCCCCGACGGCGCGGGAUGGGGUCGCGGCCCAUUAGGUAGUAGGCGGGGUAGAGGCCCACCUAGCCGACGAUGGGUAGCCGGACUGAGAGGUCGAUCGGCCACAUUGGGACUGAGAUACGGCCCAGACUCCUACGGGAGGCAGCAGUGGGGAAUUUUGCGCAAUGGGGGAAACCCUGACGCAGCAACGCCGCGUGCGGGACGAAGGCCCUCGGGUCGUAAACCGCUUUCAGCAGGGAAGACCUUACGACGGUACCUGCAGAAGAAGCUCCGGCUAACUACGUGCCAGCAGCCGCGGUAAUACGUAGGGGGCGAGCGUAUCCGGAUUCAUUGGGCCGUAAAGCGCGCGUAGGCGGC